UACGAAGGGGGCUAGCGUUGCUCGGAAUCACUGGGCGUAAAGCGCACGUAGGCGGAUCUUUAAGUCAGGGGUGAAAUCCUGGAGCUCAACUCCAGAACUGCCUUUGAUACUGGGGAUCUCGAGUCCGGAAGAGGUGAGUGGAACUCCGAGUGUAGAGGUGAAAUUCGUAGAUAUUCGGAAGAACACCGGUGGCGAAGGCGGCCAACUGGACCAUUACUGACGCUGAGGCGCGAAAGCGUGGGGAGCAAACAGG
RNAcentral lists this ribosomal RNA (253 nucleotides) under uncultured bacterium. Its description in RNAcentral is "partial 16S ribosomal RNA". It matches the Rfam family "Bacterial small subunit ribosomal RNA", at positions 524 to 776 of the family's 1533-position model. The record is from RNAcentral.